GAUGAACGCUGGCGGCGUGCCUAAUACAUGCAAGUCGAGCGAACGGACGAGAAGCUUGCUUUUCUGAUGUUAGCGGCGGACGGGUGAGUAACACGUGGAUAACCUACCUAUAAGACUGGGAUAACUUCGGGAAACCGGAGCUAAUACCGGAUAAUAUUUUGAACCGCAUGGUUCAAUAGUGAAAGACGGUCUUGCUGUCACUUAUAGAUGGAUCCGCGCCGCAUUAGCUAGUUGGUAAGGUAACGGCUUACCAAGGCAACGAUGCAUAGCCGACCUGAGAGGGUGAUCGGCCACACUGGAACUGAGACACGGUCCAGACUCCUACGGGAGGCAGCAGUAGGGAAUCUUCCGCAAUGGGCGAAAGCCUGACGGAGCAACGCCGCGUGAGUGAUGAAGGUCUUCGGAUCGUAAAACUCUGUUAUUAGGGAAGAACAUAUGUGUAAGUAACUGUGCACAUCUUGACGGUACCUAAUCAGAAAGCCACGGCUAACUACGUG
Molecule: ribosomal RNA, 497 nt
Filed under: uncultured bacterium
Lineage: Bacteria
Description: partial 16S ribosomal RNA
Rfam family: Bacterial small subunit ribosomal RNA
Source: RNAcentral